This 73-nucleotide transfer RNA is filed under the name Ovis aries (sheep). It matches the Rfam family "tRNA". From Rfam's summary of the family: Transfer RNA (tRNA) molecules are approximately 80 nucleotides in length. Their secondary structure includes four short double-helical elements and three loops (D, anti-codon, and T loops). The record is from Rfam by way of RNAcentral. Lineage: Eukaryota; Metazoa; Chordata; Mammalia; Artiodactyla; Bovidae.
UCCCUUAUAGCUCAGUGGGUAAAAGAGUCUGCCUGAAAGGCAGGAGACCUGGGUUCGAUUCCUGGGUUGGGAA